GGAGUGUAGCUGAGUGGGUCAAGCAUGUGCCUGGUGUGCACGAAGCUCAGGGUUUGAUCCCUGGCUCUCCA
This 71-nucleotide transfer RNA is filed under the name Neotoma lepida (desert woodrat). It matches the Rfam family "tRNA". Rfam says of the family: Transfer RNA (tRNA) molecules are approximately 80 nucleotides in length. Their secondary structure includes four short double-helical elements and three loops (D, anti-codon, and T loops). Further hydrogen bonds mediate the characteristic L-shaped molecular structure. tRNAs have two regions of fundamental functional importance: the anti-codon, which is responsible for specific mRNA codon recognition, and the 3' end, to which the tRNAs corresponding amino acid is attached (by aminoacyl-tRNA synthetases). tRNAs cope with the degeneracy of the genetic code in two manners: having more than one tRNA (with a specific anti-codon) for a particular amino acid; and 'wobble' base-pairing, i.e. permitting non-standard base-pairing at the 3rd anti-codon position. The record is from Rfam by way of RNAcentral. Lineage: Eukaryota; Metazoa; Chordata; Mammalia; Rodentia; Cricetidae.